RNAcentral lists this unclassified non-coding RNA (240 nucleotides) under soil metagenome. RNAcentral describes it as "partial contains 5.8S ribosomal RNA, internal transcribed spacer 2, and large subunit ribosomal RNA". The record is from RNAcentral.
AAGACUAUAGACCUGCGGAGUACCUGCGGAAGGAUCAUUAAUGAGAAACUGCCCCUCGCGGGUAGAUCUCCCACCCUUUGUAAACUUACCUUUGUUGCUUUGGCAGGCCCGUCUCCGGACCGCCGGCUUCGGCUGGCCAGUGCCUGCCAGAGGAUUCUAAAACUCUGUCUGUCAGUGUUGUCUGAGUCUAUAUACAAUCGUUAAAACUUUCAGCAACGGAUCUCUAGAUCGGAAGAGCAC